AGGAAUAUUGGACAAUGGAGGCAACUCUGAUCCAGCCAUGCCGCGUGCAGGAAGACGGCCCUAUGGGUUGUAAACUGCUUUUAUACGGGAAGAAACCCAACUACGU
This 106-nucleotide ribosomal RNA is filed under the name uncultured bacterium. RNAcentral's name for it is "partial 16S ribosomal RNA". It matches the Rfam family "Bacterial small subunit ribosomal RNA", at positions 357 to 461 of the family's 1533-position model. The record is from RNAcentral.